RNAcentral lists this long non-coding RNA (990 nucleotides) under Cyanistes caeruleus (blue tit). Its description in RNAcentral is "lncRNA (ENSCCEG00000017881.1)". Lineage: Eukaryota; Metazoa; Chordata; Aves; Passeriformes; Paridae. The record is from RNAcentral.
CUGGUGUGAUCAAAACCAGGCCCAGCCCAUUGAUUUGUUUUUAAUAGCAGCUUUCAUUUUUUAUUAGUGUACACAAACCUCACUAACACUAUACAAAAAGUCAGUAACAAUAUUCUGAAAAAUCAUCUUGUUUAAAGCAGACUCAGCCCUGCAUUGUUUCUGGCAAGGUGCUAUUAAAGAGUUUCCGUCCUGUUUUGGCAGAUCACGUUACUCAAACGCUCCUCUCUACUUUCUUCCCUUCUAGGGUUUGAAUAAUCCCGGUGAUUUUUGGAGAAUGCUGUUGCUGUUACAUGUAAUAAUCUGUUUAGAUAUUAACUUACAUUACAAACAGGCAUUCAGGUUAGAUUAGGAUAAAUAAAGCCACAAUCCUGGUAAGUAUGUGUAUGUGAGAUGGGAAUUUGCUUGCUUUUGGAACCUGCUAUAGCAGAACUCAGCCAUUCCCAGCCAUGGACUUUUUUUUUUUUUUGUGGUAGUGCUUGGCCUGGGGAAGACUGAGAUAUAAAGAAUACAAUGCUUUUUAUGCUAAGAAUAAAACUGCUCUGUGAUUUUUCUGGAACAAAUCGGUUUUGUUUUAAGGACGUGUGAGCUAUUUGAUAGCAGCAAGAAUAUCAAAACCACUUGGAGCAGACAGAAAUUUAUUAUGGCACACCUGGCACUCAGGAUUAGUUUAUUGGUCUGUGUAGGCAAAUAUUCCCUCAGUAGCUGCUACUUGGAAUUGGAAAAUAUUUAUAUGUUUAUAUUUUUGUGUAUAGACACAGAUAUUUGAAGCUGACUGCAGGGAUAAGAUGCUAUUUCAGUCAAAAUCAAGAGGCAUUGCAAGAAGGAAAAGAACAGGAGGCAGCCCUGAAAAGGCAUCAGGGACACCAGGAUACCCACAGAACAUGUGAAAAACAUGUUGACUUGGAGCCAAAGAACUGGCUGAGAUUUAGACAACUGAUUUGGAUAAUUAAUGUGUGAGUAUAUGAAUUGAUGAAGCCUGCAGAAAGUUAU